This 503-nucleotide ribosomal RNA is filed under the name uncultured bacterium. Its description in RNAcentral is "partial 16S ribosomal RNA". It matches the Rfam family "Bacterial small subunit ribosomal RNA", at positions 30 to 523 of the family's 1533-position model. The record is from RNAcentral.
AUUGAACGCUGGCGGCAGGCUUAACACAUGCAAGUCGAGCGGGGUGAUGGUGCUUGCACUAUCACUUAGCGGCGGACGGGUGAGUAAUGCUUAGGAAUCUGCCUAUUAGUGGGGGACAACACCUCGAAAGGGAUGCUAAUACCGCAUACGUCCUACGGGAGAAAGCAGGGGAUCACUUGUGACCUUGCGCUAAUAGAUGAGCCUAAGUCGGAUUAGCGAGUUGGUGGGGUAAAGGCCUACCAAGGCGACGAUCUGUAGCGGGUCUGAGAGGAUGAUCCGCCACACUGGGACUGAGACACGGCCCAGACUCCUACGGGGGGCAGCAGUGGGGAAUAUUGGACAAUGGGGGGAACCCUGAUCCAGCCAUGCCGCGUGUGUGAAGAAGGCCUUAUGGUUGUAAAGCACUUUAAGCGAGGAGGAGGCUCUUUUGGUUAAUACCCAAGAUGAGUGGACGUUACUCGCAGAAUAAGCACCGGCUAACUCUGUGCCAGCCGCCGCGGUAA